CCAUGUUUUUCUGCAGGCUGUGUCAUAUAUUGUGGCGUCUUGAUUAAUCAUCAAUGACAACUAACACUCAUGUCGGUCUCUUUUCACAAUCACAAUAGGGACGUAGCUCUUGCUAUAGUUCUAAGUUGUGAUCCAAAAUUUAAGCUUGAUGAUGCUAAAAAUUACAAAUGAAUUCUUGGUAGUGCAUGUCGAUAUGGCACUUGUGAAAACUGAAGAUUUGGUAUGGAGUCGCAAAAGGUGAAAUACUCUUGAUAAUACAGAAAAAAAAGAAUACAUGACCUUCAACCUUCGUACAUGCCUGAUAUCCUGCUGCCUCUAUUACUACAUUCAUCAUGUCAAUGCAUUGUGUAUUAACAGUUCAUUUUGUUAUUUUCUUUAUAGAUUCAAAAUAUAUAUGGAUGAUUAUAAUGGUGCGUGGCAAGUAUAUUGCAAUGAUGAUGAUGUUCCGGUUCAUGAUGAUGAUGAUGUUCCGGUUCAUGAUGAUAAUGAUGGAUGCUAUCAGUUUUAGUUAAGUUGUAGGGAUGAUGUUCCUGUCUGAUGAUGUUCCCCAGUUAAGUUAGUUUAAGUUGUAGGGAUGUUGAAGGAUGCUUUCUAUUUAAGUUUCGCUGUCAAGAAAAUAUUUAGAUUAUGCAUCAAAUUUGGAUGAUGUUUCCCCUGCAAUAUCAACCAUUGUAAUCCAACAACUUUAUCCAAUAUAUGAUUUCUUUCUCUAAUGAGUAUAUUCUUUUUUUUCCACACUUCAUAUACAUAAUUACCACUGUUAUGUUGAGCAUUAAUUUAAUUGUUGGCAAUAUUAUUUACAUUAUAUAUGUAACAACACAUGAAGCGUUGAAAAAUCCUAGUUGCCAGAAAUGAGAUUUGGAUUCUUGUACAUUAAGCA
This 880-nucleotide long non-coding RNA is filed under the name Triticum aestivum (bread wheat). RNAcentral's name for it is "long non-coding RNA (TAES_LNC027022)". The record is from RNAcentral. Lineage: Eukaryota; Viridiplantae; Streptophyta; Magnoliopsida; Poales; Poaceae.